CCUCCUUCUUUCCUUCCUCCCCUCCCCCCCUCCCCCCCCCUUCUCCCUCCCUAUCCCCUCUUCCCCCUCCAUCCCCCUUCUCCCUCCCUAUCCCCUCUUCCCCCUCCCUCCCCCUUCUCCCUCUUCCCUCCCCUUUCCCCCUCCUCCCACACCUGCUCUCUGUGACAUCACCACUUUGCUCAAUGCAAAUCAGAGCCGUUUUCUUCCCCCACCCCCCCCCCCCAGCCCUUGUCCACAAUUGAUAUCCUUAGUGGAUUAUGAUUUGGAGCAUCUUUGACUCGCUUUAAAUCCUGUCAGCAAACGCCUCCUUCCAGUGCAGGAUGAGAGACAAAGCAGGAAGCUGAGGCGAAGGAAUUUCAGAACCCCUGGCUUUGUUCCUGGGGUUUCCUACUUAAUAAAUAAAAGCAACCUGCCUCAAGGGACAGUCAGACAUCUCUAGCCAUCGCAGUCGGCUUUCCCCGCAGCUCCCUGGGGCUAUGCCACAGCUCUGUUCCAUUGAUGCGCGCACAGAAGCCUGAGUGGUCCGCUCCAGGGCAGACCCACAUCGGAGCUGUGACUCAAAGCCAGGAAACCCGGCCCUCUGUGCUGGCCCCGUUGCGGAGACCCGUGGCUGAUGAGACCGACCCCGGGUGUAAGCUCGACAAGGAAUGA
This 651-nucleotide long non-coding RNA is filed under the name Mus spicilegus (steppe mouse). RNAcentral describes it as "lncRNA (ENSMSIG00000007128.1)". Lineage: Eukaryota; Metazoa; Chordata; Mammalia; Rodentia; Muridae. The record is from RNAcentral.